UACGUAGGGUGCAAGCGUUGUCCGGAAUUAUUGGGCGCAAAGAGCUCGUAGGCGGUUUGUUGCGUCGGCUGUGAAAUCCCGAGGCUCAACCUCGGGUCUGCAGUCGAUACGAGCAAACUAGAGUGUUGCAGGGGAGACUGGAAUUCCUGGUGUAGCGGUGAAAUGCGCAGAUAUCAGGAGGAACACCGGUGGCGAAGGCGGGUCUCUGGGCAACAACUGACGCUGAGGAGCGAAAGCGUGGGGAGCGAACAGG
Molecule: ribosomal RNA, 253 nt
Filed under: uncultured bacterium
Lineage: Bacteria
Description: partial 16S ribosomal RNA
Rfam family: Bacterial small subunit ribosomal RNA
Source: RNAcentral